GGACAGAUAUCUUGGAAAUCUGCGGUAUUUUUUUUUUUUUAAAGAAGGUCAUUCACUACAUGAAGAUCAAAUACCAUGAAAGUACCGUGGACAGUUUCGGGACGUUGUCUUUGCAAAGCUUUCUGGUGCCCGUAUAGUACGCAUAGCAGUCCACCCCAAUGCUAUGAAGAUGGGAUAUGGGUCUGCUGCGGUUGAACUCUUGACCAGAUACUUUGAGGGUCAGCUAGCUUCAAUAUCAGAAGGUGAUGAUGAACUGGAUGUGGAGCCUUCAGAGUUACCAAGGCUGCUGAAAAUGUUAAUAGAAUUUGCUCCAUUCUACAUCAGUCAAAUCCUAGUUGAGAAUAUCUGUUUCUCCUCAUUCUCCUGAAUUGGUUAUUCUUGUAUUGUCUACUAGUUCCUAACACAAUUUCUAUAUAUGGUUGGAUCAGAGUGCUGUGACUGGUGAGCGAGCACACAUGUAUGCUUUCGAAACCAUUAACAUUAAGCAACGACACGUUUGAAGUUGAUGAGUCGGAUGAACUGGGCUUCUUCGUCCCCUUCCAUAAAGUACUAUUUUAGGUUGACAACUUUUCCUGGUGCGGUUUUAUCGUGUUGAUAAUAUGAUCAACUUCCUGGAGGUUGAUUCUUGGGGGAAUUCAUCAGAUGGAUUUUUGAAGAAACUCGCCCGUGUGCUUUCACCUUAUGAUAUGGUUUGACUCAGAGGGUAGACUUCGUUGCCAAACUUCGUUGACUUCAAUCUGGUCUAUGACAUCUGCAAAACUCUAGCUCAUCAUUAUUUUCAAGAGAAGCUCCUUGUCUCGCUGUCAUAUGUUCAAGCAUCUGUACUCCUGUGUUUAGGCUUGCUAGAGUAGUCUGAUUUCUCGAACAUCGAGAGAGUGCUUGAACCUCACAAUGUAUCAGUAGAUGAAGAUCUCAGGGAAGGAGCAAAAGAAGUUGAGGAACAAAUGAGGGCAAAGAUAGAAGAACUGUUGGAUCUUGAGCUGCUUGAACAAUUUGCUAUUGGGGACCAAGAUGCUCAGGAAGGCUUUGCAAAAGUCUAAGAUCUCUUCAAGUGGUCUUGUAAGUAUCGAGUCCACCAAAUCUGAUAACAAGAAAGAGAAGCCAAGUGGUUUUGAUAAAUCCACCAAAAAAUAGAGAGGCAAUGAUGAGCACUCCUCCAGAUCCAAUAAGAAGAGAAGAGCCUGAUGUGGAGUUCAUGCAACAAUGGUUUUUUUUUUGCAACAGUGACCAGGAAAUUUUUAUCAUUGGGGUUUCUAUGAAUUUGGAUUUUCUAUGAAUUUGAAUAUUAUUAAAUUUUUGGUUUGAUCAUCACAAAA
Molecule: non-coding RNA, 1316 nt
Organism: Camelina sativa (false flax)
Lineage: Eukaryota; Viridiplantae; Streptophyta; Magnoliopsida; Brassicales; Brassicaceae
Source: RefSeq, a predicted model, not a curated record